This 465-nucleotide ribosomal RNA is filed under the name uncultured bacterium. RNAcentral's name for it is "partial 16S ribosomal RNA". It matches the Rfam family "Bacterial small subunit ribosomal RNA", at positions 28 to 507 of the family's 1533-position model. The record is from RNAcentral.
GAUGAACGCUGGCGGCGUGCUUAACACAUGCAAGUCGAACGGAAAGGCCCAAGCUUGCUUGGGUACUCGAGUGGCGAACGGGUGAGUAACACGUGGGUGAUCUGCCCUGCACUUCGGGAUAAGCCUGGGAAACUGGGUCUAAUACCGGAUAGGACCACAUUUUGGAUGGUGUGGUGGAAAGUUUUUCGGUGUGGGAUGAGCUCGCGGCCUAUCAGCUUGUUGGUGGGGUAAUGGCCUACCAAGGCGUCGACGGGUAGCCGGCCUGAGAGGGGGGACGGCCACAUUGGGACUGAGAUACGGCCCAGACUCCUACGGGGGGCAGCAGUGGGGAAUAUUGCACAAUGGGCGCAAGCCUGAUGCAGCGACGCCGCGUGGGGGAUGACGGCCUUCGGGUUGUAAACUCCUUUCGCUAGGGACGAAGCGCAAGUGACGGUACCUGGAGAAGAAGCACCGGCUAACUACGUG